AGAAUCAACGCUGGCGGCGUGCCUAACACAUGCAAGUCGAACGAGAAAGUGGAGCAAUCCAUGAGUAAAGUGGCGCACGGGUGAGUAACACGUGACUAACCUACCCUUGAGUGGGGGAUAACCUAGAGAAAUCUGGGCUAAUACCGCAUAAUACCUUCGGGUCAAAGGAGCAAUUCGCUUAAGGAGGGGGUCGCGGCCGAUUAGUUAGUUGGCGGGGUAAUGGCCCACCAAGACGAUGAUCGGUAU
Molecule: ribosomal RNA, 246 nt
Filed under: uncultured bacterium
Lineage: Bacteria
Description: partial small subunit ribosomal RNA
Rfam family: Bacterial small subunit ribosomal RNA
Source: RNAcentral